UACGAGAGCCCCAAGCGUUAGCCGGAAUUAUUGGGCGUAAAGGGUCCGCAGGCGGGAUGAUGCGUCUGCUGUGAAAUCUGUGCGGCUCAACCGCACAAAAUGCAGCGGAUACGAUCAUUCUUGAGGCAAGGAGAGGUAAGCGGAACUCCUGGUGGAGCGGUGAAAUGCGUUGAUAUCAGGGGGAACACCAAUUGCGAAGGCAGCUUACUGGCCUUGUCCUGACGCUCAGGGACGACAGCGUGGGUAUCGAACGGG
Molecule: unclassified non-coding RNA, 255 nt
Filed under: uncultured Parcubacteria group bacterium
Lineage: Bacteria
Description: contains 16S-23S intergenic spacer region
Rfam family: Bacterial small subunit ribosomal RNA
Source: RNAcentral